AUGUUGAUGACUAUAAACUUAAUAACAUUUUUUACGGCUUGUUUCCAGCAGAUCAAGCAAUUAAAGAACCAGUAGAAGACACUGACCCUAGCACUUUGUCCUCAGAAAAUAUAGAAAAGUAUCCUGUCCAAGAUACAGAAUUACCCAAAGAACCUUUUUAGAAAUAUUUUGAUCAAGAGAUCCAAACCUGACUAACUUUGAAGAAUAUUUGCCUUGUAGAUGAAGAAUAUCAAACAGAAAAAGUGACUUUGGAAAUUUCAUCCAUUAACAUUACAAGCUUAACAUCAGAUUCUGGCUUGAUACACCAGCCAGAAGAAGAUGAUGACACUCCAAGUUGUGCUGGUGAUUCACCUAUAGGUAAUGUUCUGCACAUUUUCAAAAUGUAUUUACUGCCUGAUUCCAGCUUUUUUUGUUGUUCUAAG
This 422-nucleotide long non-coding RNA is filed under the name Naja naja (Indian cobra). RNAcentral's name for it is "lncRNA (ENSNNAG00000002289.1)". The record is from RNAcentral. Lineage: Eukaryota; Metazoa; Chordata; Lepidosauria; Squamata; Elapidae.